RNAcentral lists this small nucleolar RNA (107 nucleotides) under Nannospalax galili (Upper Galilee mountains blind mole rat). RNAcentral describes it as "Small nucleolar RNA SNORA61 (ENSNGAG00000002919.1)". The record is from RNAcentral. Lineage: Eukaryota; Metazoa; Chordata; Mammalia; Rodentia; Spalacidae.
ACUCUCCGGUUCCCUUUCUUGGUGUUCAUAAAGGAGGGAGAGCAUGCUGAAGCUGGCCUCACAGCUUUGUAGUCUGGUAUAAGCAUGUGGGCUACUUUCAAACAGGG